CAUGCAGGCCUAGGGGAGUAAUUUUUCUUUGGCCUCGGGGCCUAAGUUGAAUUUCUUCUGAGCAACUGGAACAUUUUGAUUCUAUGGGCAUUGGGGACAUUAUAAUUGGUUGUGAUUCCUCUUUUGAUUUGGCUGUGUAUCAACCGACAACGCUUUCAGCCACAAUUACUUAAAAUAUCUUAAGUAGCUUUUUUUUUUUCUUUGCACAUAGCAAGCAGCCUGAAGGUAAGUGACUGCUAGGAUUGCUUCAGCGUCUCAUCUGGUGACCAGUGUCUCUGAAUUUCCUUCAGACACAGGGUGGCUGCUGCAGCUUUGACUGUGGUUCUCAAACUUUGGUGUGUAUUGGAAUCAGCUGGAGAGCGGAAAGCACAGCCCAGGCUCCUUGAAGAACACAGCCCAGGCCUUUUAUAGGGUCACCACGUUCCUCAGGUGAUUCCAGUGUUGGCCAAACUUGAGAACCGCUGCUCUAGCGUCUGCCGCUCAAGACCAGAAGGGAGAAACAAGUCCAGCAGGGAAUGGAGCAUUGUGGAGGAAGCCUGUCUGCAAUCCUCCGAAGCAUGGAAUUAGAUCAUCAUUAUCUACUCAAAGAGCCCAGAACUACGCUCAAGAAGCAACCAGAACUCAGAAUCUAUUUGCCGAGGAAUUCAACAAGUUGAUUGAGGCUUGGAUUCUUGCUCAUUUCUCAUCCACUCCAUUGCCUACAUCAAUAGGGAGAAACGUAUAACUUCUGUCAGAACUGUCAUGUUAAAUAAAUGAGCAUCCUGUUGUA
RNAcentral lists this long non-coding RNA (769 nucleotides) under Equus caballus (horse). RNAcentral's name for it is "lncRNA (ENSECAG00000051411.1)". Lineage: Eukaryota; Metazoa; Chordata; Mammalia; Perissodactyla; Equidae. The record is from RNAcentral.